GAUGAACGCUGGCGGCGUGCUUAACACAUGCAAGUCGAACGAAGCACUUUAUUUGAUUUCCUUCGGGACUGAUUAUUUUGUGACUGAGUGGCGGACGGGUGAGUAACGCGUGGGUAACCUGCCUUGUACAGGGGGAUAACAGUUGGAAACGGCUGCUAAUACCGCAUAAGCGCACAGCAUCGCAUGAUGCAGUGUGAAAAACUCCGGUGGUAUAAGAUGGACCCGCGUUGGAUUAGCUAGUUGGUGAGGUAACGGCCCACCAAGGCGACGAUCCAUAGCCGAGCUGAGAGGGUGACCGGCCACAUUGGGACUGAGACACGGCCCAAACUCCUACGCGAGGCAGCAGUGGGGAAUAUUGCACAAUGGGCGAAAGCCUGAUGCAGCGACGCCGCGUGAGCGAAGAAGUAUUUCGGUAUGUAAAGCUCUAUCAGCAGGGAAGAUAAUGACGGUACCUGACUAAGAAGCACCGGCUAAAUACGUG
RNAcentral lists this ribosomal RNA (481 nucleotides) under uncultured bacterium. RNAcentral's name for it is "partial 16S ribosomal RNA". It matches the Rfam family "Bacterial small subunit ribosomal RNA", at positions 28 to 507 of the family's 1533-position model. The record is from RNAcentral.